This 251-nucleotide ribosomal RNA is filed under the name uncultured prokaryote. RNAcentral's name for it is "partial 16S rRNA". It matches the Rfam family "Bacterial small subunit ribosomal RNA", at positions 525 to 775 of the family's 1533-position model. The record is from RNAcentral.
ACGGAGGGUGCGAGCGUUAAUCGGAAUCACUGGGCGUAAAGCGCAAGUAGGAGGUGUCGUAAGUCGGAUGUGAAAGCCCUCGGCUCAACCGGGGAACUGCAUUCGAUACUGCGAUGCUUGAGUGCCGGAGAGGGUAGCGGAAUUCCAGGUGUAGGAGUGAAAUCCGUAGAUAUCUGGAGGAACACCAGUGGCGAAGGCGGUUUCCUGGCCGGCAACUGACGCUGAGGUGCGAAAACGUGGGGGUCAAACAG